Molecule: transfer RNA, 88 nt
Filed under: Neobacillus cucumis
Lineage: Bacteria; Bacillati; Bacillota; Bacilli; Caryophanales; Bacillaceae
Description: tRNA-Ser
Rfam family: tRNA
About the family: Transfer RNA (tRNA) molecules are approximately 80 nucleotides in length. Their secondary structure includes four short double-helical elements and three loops (D, anti-codon, and T loops). Further hydrogen bonds mediate the characteristic L-shaped molecular structure. tRNAs have two regions of fundamental functional importance: the anti-codon, which is responsible for specific mRNA codon recognition, and the 3' end, to which the tRNAs corresponding amino acid is attached (by aminoacyl-tRNA synthetases). tRNAs cope with the degeneracy of the genetic code in two manners: having more than one tRNA (with a specific anti-codon) for a particular amino acid; and 'wobble' base-pairing, i.e. permitting non-standard base-pairing at the 3rd anti-codon position.
Source: RNAcentral
AGAGAAGUACCCAAGUGGCUCAAGGGGCUCCCCUGCUAAGGGAGUAGGUCGGGUGACCGGCGCGAGGGUUCGAAUCCCUUCUUCUCUG